Molecule: non-coding RNA, 21 nt
Filed under: Arabidopsis thaliana (thale cress)
Lineage: Eukaryota; Viridiplantae; Streptophyta; Magnoliopsida; Brassicales; Brassicaceae
Source: RNAcentral
GCGCCGGUUAUUGACAUAUGG